This 125-nucleotide small RNA is filed under the name Marmota monax (woodchuck). Lineage: Eukaryota; Metazoa; Chordata; Mammalia; Rodentia; Sciuridae. The record is from RNAcentral.
GCUGGGUGCGGUGGCGAACACCUGUAAUCCCAGAGGCUCGGGAGACUGAGGCAGGAGGAUCUCGAGUUCAAAACCAGCCUCAACAAAGGUGAGGCACUAAGCAACUCAGUGGGACCCUGUCUCUA